AGAGUUUGAUCCUGGCUCAGAGUAAACGUUGGCGGCGUGCCUAACACAUGCAAGUCGAACGAUCUCCUUGUAGCUUGCUAUUUGGAGAGAGUGGCGAACGGGUGAGUAACACGUGGGUAAUCUCCCCUCGAGUGAGGAAUAACUCCGCGAAAGCGGAGAUAAUACCGCAUAAUAUUCUGGAGCAUAUGCUUUCAGAAUCAAAGCUUUCCGAGCAAUCGGAUGGCGCUUGAGGAUGAGCCUGCGGCCUAUUAGCUAGUUGGUAGGGUAAUGGCCUACCAAGGUAAUGAUGGGUAGCCGGCCUGAGAGGGUGUACGGCCACACUGGGACUGCGACACGGCCCAGACUCCUACGGGAGGCAGCAGUGGGGAAUUUUGCGCAAUGGGCGAAAGCCUGACGCAGCGACGCCGCGUGGAGGAUGAAGGCCUUCGGGUUGUAAACUCCUGUCAGAGGAAAAGAAGCCCCGAUUUAUCGGGGUCGACGGUAUCCUCAGAGGAAGCCCCGGCUAACUACGUGCCAGCAGCCGCGGUAAUACGUAGGGGGCAAACGUUGCUUGGAAUUACUGGGCGUAAAGGGUGUGUAGGUGGCUGAGUAAGUCAAAGAUGAAAUCCCAAGGCUCAACCUUGGAACUGUCUUUGAAACUGUUCAGCUUGAGGAUAGUAGAGGAGGACGGAAUUCCCGGUGGAGCGGUGAAAUGCGUAGAUAUCGGGAGGAACACCAGAGGCGAAGGCGGUUCUCUAAACUAUUCCUGACACUGAAACACGAAAGCUAGGGGAGCAAACGGGAUUAGAUACCCCGGUAGUCCUAGCUGUAAACGAUGGGCACUAGAUGUUUUCGCUUUUUUGCGAAAGUGUCGUAGCUAACGCGUUAAGUGCCCCGCCUGGGGAGUACGGUCGCAAGGCUGAAACUCAAAUGAAUUGACGG
Molecule: ribosomal RNA, 921 nt
Filed under: uncultured bacterium
Lineage: Bacteria
Description: bacterial SSU rRNA
Rfam family: Bacterial small subunit ribosomal RNA
Source: RNAcentral